This is a non-coding RNA of Thiotrichales bacterium SG8_50, 91 nucleotides long. NCBI's taxonomy places the organism in Bacteria, Pseudomonadati, Pseudomonadota, Gammaproteobacteria, Thiotrichales. The record is from Rfam.
GGAGAGGUGGCCGAGCGGCUUAAGGCAACGGUUUGCUAAACCGUCGUGUGGGUAUACACCCGCACCGGGGGUUCGAAUCCCCCCCUCUCCG